UUAAUGAAUUAUAUGUAUAUGAUAAAUUAGCUCACGGCUUGACCGGGCUCAAAUAUUAUUUUAGUAAAAUAAACAAACUUUAUACGCCAAAACCAUUUUUGCCCUGGUUCAAAUCAGAUAAAAUAUAUUUGAAGUUUAAAAAAAAAAAAAAAAAAAAAUUGGAAUGGUGGUGGUUCCUCUGUUGUCUUCUUCACUCUUUGCCUCCGCCGGACCUGGAAUUCCACCGGACGUCCCUCAAUAAUCGCCGGUUGGAUAUCCUUCAUCGCCGGGUAAUUGACUGGAAUUUAUUUCUAUGAUUGCGUGAUUCUAUAAUUAUUUCGAUGGCAAUAAUGGAGUCUGGAAUUUAUUUCACAAGAUUAGCAUUCAUUCUUUCUUUUCUUUCUGGAGCUCCAUCGACCGUUAGUUAUUUCAAGAUUUCUGAAGGAUGUAGUUAUUCCAUUCAUGAUUAUCAUCAGAAUCUUGGUAUAAUUUGGAGCUUAUCUGUGGAUAUAGAUCCAUUAUCAAUGAACUGCAGAUCUUCUUUUGCGCGUGGGCACUAAUGUGGAUCUACCACAGUCUUUAGUGGAAAUGGUUACUCAUGGUGAUAGACAAAGAUCCGAUAAUUUUCGAGUAUGAAUUCUAGCAGAGCAUUCUUUGUUAGGCGGUUUUUGGUUUCGAUACUGAUUUUAAUGGACAUGUUGUAAUAAUUUAUGGAGCUGUUUAUGGAAUACCAAGUUUUAAAGAAUUUCUUCUCUUGCUUAAGAUUAGUAGAAAUUCAAAAAUCGAGGCACUGUUGCUUCAGUGUGAGCGUAGUGAUACAGAAAAUGGAUAGUGAACAUUGCAAUUUUUUUAUAAUGCAGACUAUUUUUUCAGCAACAACUAUACUAAAAACAUCAUGGCACAUGAAUACGAUUUCAAUAUAGGAGAUUGGAUCCAUAUUUUGUAUCAUUUUUAAGUCCGGAUAAGUGAGCUGUAAAUUAAACAGGAAGCUGUAGUCUCAUUUCCCCUGUAUAAUGAGGCUCGUAAAUUUUAUCACCAUGAGGAGAAGAUGAUUCAGACAGCUAUACAUGCAUUAACUCGGCAUAUACAAUGAGAGACACGCACUCAAUGAAGAGAAAAGAACUACUUCUGGAAAUUGAUAAAAUUGUUGAUGAUCUAUACUACUUUAAGGACAUAAUUAAGGUUGGAGAAUUUCUUUUGAGUACAUUAGUAACUGAAAAUCUUCUCAGCCUAUUAUUCUUUCCAUUACUUCAUUUCAGACAGAUCAAUGUGAGAUAUUCUUCCUCUUGUCUGUCUCAUGAGAAACACUAGUUUGCAGUGUUAGUGGCAUUUUCUUGUGAACAACUAUAAUUUUUUUGAGUAUGAGUGCAUUCCAUUUCUUAUUAUGUUAUCACAUCAUGUGGUCUUGCGCUUUUUACCUUUAGAAGCAGUGCUGAGUUAUUUGAUAAUGUACCAUAUAUAGUUGUUUGAGGGCCUGGUUUUCUUGAAAACGUUAUAUUUUACCAUCACUAGAUUUCUAUGCCAAUAAUUAUUUUACGUAUGUACAUAGACUUGGAAAGUGUCAAGUAGCAAAUUUGCUCAUAAGGUCGUAGAUUGAGUAAACAGAUUAACUUUUAUUGCACUCGACUUUUAUGGAUAUCUUGAUAUAAAACCAAGCUUUGGGCGACUGCCAUACUAAAUUUACUGCGAUCUUUGUUCUCUGUCUCUCUCUCGAUAUUGAAGAUUUUCAUUUAUUGUUCAGGGCUCAAAAUUUUCUCCAGUCACUUACUCUGUUUCUCGUUUCUUGUCUUUUUCAAGUUAUUGGCGUAAAAGGCAUAAUCAAUUCUGUGGUUGCUAUAUUCUAUAUCCUUGUAUGUAUUCAAGCGUGAAGGAGAAGAUAACAUCAUCUACCCUAGUGAUGAAGCACAUGCACGAGUACAAACAGUCAACGUGAAACUUGUGGAGAUCCUGUUUGACCAUUCUGCUUGGGGAUAGUUUCUAACUCGACUAUAAUAAACAUCUAGCUAAAAAGGAGAGGCUUUUUACAUUUUUUAGUUAUUUGAUUUUUUUUUUCCCAAAAAUGUUGUAGAAAAUGCCUAGAAUUGUCUUGUGCAUUGUACUAUUACCAAUUUUUCCGUGAUGCAGGAGUGGAAUACUUAGAUUGUAUUUUUUCCACAAUCUGAUUGAAAAACUUUGUUUCUUAUGGUCAA
Ziziphus jujuba (common jujube) is the source of this 2168-nucleotide long non-coding RNA. RefSeq lists it as uncharacterized. Lineage: Eukaryota; Viridiplantae; Streptophyta; Magnoliopsida; Rosales; Rhamnaceae. The record is from RefSeq and is a predicted model, not a curated record. The transcript is spliced from 9 exons.